AUAUUUAUUUGGCAGGGGAGAUACCAUGAUCACGAAGAUUUUCCGAGGGCAAGGCUUAUCCAUUGUGGUACGGUUGUACCGACCCCUGUGAUUUACUAUCGCUUUGCAAAAAGGCCACUGCAACCUUAUACAGAAAAUACUUCUGUGAGGAUGUCUGUC
Small nuclear RNA from Gorilla gorilla gorilla (western lowland gorilla), 159 nucleotides. Its record names the gene U1. It matches the Rfam family "U1 spliceosomal RNA". From Rfam's summary of the family: U1 is a small nuclear RNA (snRNA) component of the spliceosome (involved in pre-mRNA splicing). Its 5' end forms complementary base pairs with the 5' splice junction, thus defining the 5' donor site of an intron. There are significant differences in sequence and secondary structure between metazoan and yeast U1 snRNAs, the latter being much longer (568 nucleotides as compared to 164 nucleotides in human). The record is from Ensembl. Lineage: Eukaryota; Metazoa; Chordata; Mammalia; Primates; Hominidae.